CCUUAGCGGGGAGUAGCCCGGAGAAAUCCGGAUUAAUACCCCAUAGUAAUGUUGGGUGGCAUCACUUGAUAUUUAAAGAUUUAUCACUUAGAGAUGGCUGUGCGGCUGAUUAGGUAGUUGGCGGGGUAAAGGCCCACCAAGCCAUCGAUCAGUAACUGGUGUGAGAGCACGACCAGUCACACGGGCACUGAGACACGGGCCCG
This 203-nucleotide ribosomal RNA is filed under the name uncultured bacterium. RNAcentral's name for it is "partial 16S ribosomal RNA". It matches the Rfam family "Bacterial small subunit ribosomal RNA", at positions 131 to 334 of the family's 1533-position model. The record is from RNAcentral.